RNAcentral lists this microRNA (25 nucleotides) under Dinoponera quadriceps. Its description in RNAcentral is "dqu-miR-375-5p". Its record names the gene dqu-miR-375-5p. Lineage: Eukaryota; Metazoa; Arthropoda; Insecta; Hymenoptera; Formicidae. The record is from miRBase by way of RNAcentral.
CAUCGAUCCCAACGAUCAACAAACU